CCUACGGGAGGCAGCAGUGGGGAAUUUUGGACAAUGGGCGCAAGCCUGAUCCAGCAAUGCCGCGUGCAGGAUGAAGGCYUUCGGGUUGUAAACUGCUUUUGCACGGAACGAAAAGCUUCUGGUUAAUACCUGGGAGUCAUGACGGUACCGUAAGAAUAAGCACCGGCUAACUACGUGCCAGCAGCCGCGGUAAU
Molecule: ribosomal RNA, 194 nt
Filed under: uncultured bacterium
Lineage: Bacteria
Description: partial 16S rRNA
Rfam family: Bacterial small subunit ribosomal RNA
Source: RNAcentral